AGAGUUUGAUCCUGGCUCAGGAUAAACGUUGGCGGUGUGCCUGAGAUAUGCAAGUCGAAUGUCCCCGCUGCAAGGCGGGGUAAUGGCGGACGGCUGAGUAACACGUAGAAAUCUGCCUCAAAGUGAAGACUAGUCCAUCGAAAGGUGGAGUAAUGCUUCAUGUGUUAGAUGCAAAUCUAAUAAAGAGUGUAACUACUUGCUUUGAGAUGAGUCUGCGGUCUAUCAGGUAGUUGGUAGGGUAAAGGCCUACCAAGCCUAUGACGGAUAGCUGGCCUGAGAGGGUGGUCAGCCAGAGGGGCACUGAGACACGGGCCCCACUCCUACGGGAGGCAGCAAUCAGGAAUAGUCGGCAAUGGGCGAAAGCCUGACCGCGCGACACCGCGUGCAGGAAGAAACUCUUCGGAGCGUAAACUGCUGUGAUAAGGGAAGAAAGGCCCGCUUAGCGGGCUUUGACGGUACCUUAUAAGAAAGGGGCCGCUAACUGCGUGCCAGAAGCGUCGGUAAUACGUGGGCCCCAAACGUUAUCCGGUUUUAUUGGGCUUAAAGGGUCGUGUAGGCGGUGCGAUAAGUCUUGGUUUAAAUACUACGGCUUAACCGUAGGACAGGCUAAGAUACUAUCGAACUAGAGUUAUCUUAAGGGAAACUGGAACUCAGGGAGGAGUAGUGAAAUGCGUUGAUACCCUGGGGAACACCAGUGGCGAAGGCGAGUUUCUAGAAGGUAACUGACGCUGAAACACGAAAGCUAGGGGAGCGAAGCAGAUUAGAGACCUGCGUAGUCCUAGCCGUAAACUAUGCUUGCUAGCUGCAUUGACCCCGCUUUUGCGGGGUUGGUGUGGCGAAGGGAAACCGUUAAGCAAGCCGCCUGGGGAGUACGACCGCAAGGUUAAAACUCAAAGGAAUUGGCGGGGAGGCACACAACCAGUGGAACAUGUGGUUUAAUUCGAAACGAACCGAAGAACCUCACCAGGACUUGACAUGCCA
This 981-nucleotide ribosomal RNA is filed under the name Candidatus Roizmanbacteria bacterium CG_4_9_14_3_um_filter_36_11. Its description in RNAcentral is "bacterial SSU rRNA". It matches the Rfam family "Bacterial small subunit ribosomal RNA", at positions 8 to 991 of the family's 1533-position model. Lineage: Bacteria; Candidatus Roizmaniibacteriota. The record is from RNAcentral.